This 492-nucleotide ribosomal RNA is filed under the name uncultured bacterium. Its description in RNAcentral is "partial 16S ribosomal RNA". It matches the Rfam family "Bacterial small subunit ribosomal RNA", at positions 29 to 507 of the family's 1533-position model. The record is from RNAcentral.
AGUGAACGCUGGCGGUAGGCCUAACACAUGCAAGUCGAACGGCAGCACAGUAAGAGCUUGCUCUUACGGGUGGCGAGUGGCGGACGGGUGAGGAAUACAUCGGAAUCUACUUUUUCGUGGGGGUUAACGUAGGGGAACUUACGCUAAUACCGCAUACGCCCUACGGGUGAAAGCAGGGGAUCUUCGGGCCUUGCGCGAUUGAAUGAGCCGAUGUCGGAGUAGCUAGUUGGCGGGGUAAAGGCCCACCCAGGCGACGAUCCGUAGCUGGUCUGAGAGGAUGGUCGGCCACACUGGAACUGAGACACGGUCCAGACUCCUACGGGAGGCAGCAGUGGGGAAUAUUGGACAAUGGGCGCAAGCCUGAUCCAGCCAGACCGCGUGGGUGAAGAAGGCCUUCGGGUUGUAAAGCCCUUUUGUUGGGAAAGAAAAGCAGCAGGUUAAUACCCCGCUGUUCUGACGGUACUCAAAGAAGAAGCACCGGCUAACUUCGUG